Molecule: non-coding RNA, 76 nt
Organism: Melanomma pulvis-pyrius CBS 109.77
Lineage: Eukaryota; Fungi; Ascomycota; Dothideomycetes; Pleosporales; Melanommataceae
Source: the annotation of a GenBank genome assembly
UCUCUCUUAGUACAGUGGUAAUUAAGUAUGUUGGCUUGUCGCGCCGAUGACGCAAGUUCGAUUCUCGUAGAGAGAA